Cherax quadricarinatus is the source of this 2452-nucleotide non-coding RNA. NCBI's taxonomy places the organism in Eukaryota, Metazoa, Arthropoda, Malacostraca, Decapoda, Parastacidae. The record is from RefSeq and is a predicted model, not a curated record.
UAGUGUAUUUAAAAAAAUAACAAAGUUAGAUUGGGUCCUAGGUUUAACAUUUAUGUGAUAUAAUUGUGAGUAACAUAUAGGAUAUACAAUUUAUAAGGUUCAGUUAUUCAGUAUUUAUUUGGUUUUGAGUGAGUAAGUGAUCUUUGAGAAGAGACUUGAAUUUAUAAACAGGUAGUGUUUCUUUUAUAUUUACAGGUAAUGAAUUCCAGAUUUUAGGGCCUUUUAUGUGCAUUGAGUUUUUGCAUAGUGUGAGAUGGACACGAGGAACAUCAAAGAGUGAUCUGUGCCUUGUGUUAUGGUCAUGUGUUCUGUUGAGGUUGGCAAGGAGAUGUUUGAGGGGAGGGUUAAUAUCAGAGUUAAGUGUUCUAUGUAUGUAAUAGGUGCAAUAAUAAGUAUGGAUGUUUUGUAUGGUGAGUAGGUUGAGUGUUUUGAAUAUUGGUGGAGUGUGUUGCCUGUAGUGAGAAUUUGUUAUCAUUCUAACUGCAGCCUUUUGUUGGGUAAUUAGUGGUCUGAGAUGGUUAAUUGUUGUUGAGCCCCAUGCACAAAUUCCAUAGGUGAGAUAGGGGUAAAUAAGAGAGUGAUAAAGGGCCAGGAGGGCUGACUGUGGAACAUAGUACCGUAUCUUCGAUAGUAUGCCUACAGUCUUGGAGAUUUUCUUAGAAAUUUGUUGUAUAUGUGUAUGAAAUUUGAGUCUAUUAUCGAGGUGGAUUCCUAGGAAUUUUCCCUCUGUUAGCUUUGUGAUAGGUGAUCCGUUUAUUGUUAUGUUAAGAGGUACAUCUGUAGCUCUGUUACCAAACUGAAUGAAGUAGGUUUUGUCAAUGUUUAGUGUAAGUUUGUUAGUCCUCAUCCAGGUAGAUAUUUUCUGUAAUUCGGUGUUUACAGUAUUGGCUAGCGUGACUGGGCUCGGGUGAGAGAAGACGUAUGUAGUGUCAUCUGCAAAAAGUGUGGGUUUGAGUAAUUGCGAAGCAUUUGGUAGGUCAUUUAUGUAUAGGAGAAAGAGAAGAGGGCCAAGGACACUUCCCUGUGGGACACCAACUGUAAUUAGUUGUGCGGAAGAGCUUGCCCCAUUUGCGUACACAUAUUGGCUUCUGUUGCUGAGGUAAGACUUGAGGUAGUUGAGGGAGUGACAAUUUUACGUGGAGCAAGUCAUGGUCAACUGUAUCAAAAGCUUUACGUAUGUCAAUGAAGAUCCCCAGUGGGACUUCUUUUUUCUCUAUUGCAGUGUAUAUAUGUUCUAGCAUGUGUAUAAUAAUAUCAUUAGUAUUUUUAUUAGGCCUGAAUCCAAAUUGGCAGGGGUUGAGAAUGUUUUGGGCGAUGAGGUAGGAGUAGAUUCGUUUAUGAAUUAAUUUUUCGAAGAUUUUUGAGAGAGGGUGUAAAUUGGAUAUUGGCCUAUAGUUAUUCAACUCUGUUUGGUCUCCUCCUUUAUGGAUUGGGGUGACCCUUGCUAUUUUGAGAACUGUAGGGAAGGUGGAGGAUUCAAUGGAUUUGUUAAAGAGUGUUGCAAUGAUUGGUGAUAGUACUUGUGAUGCUUUUUUGUAUAUAAAGGGUGGUAAGGUAUUUAAAUCUCCUGCCUUGUUUUUCAGUGCGUUGAUAAUAAGGGAGACUUCGUAUGGGUUAGUCAGAGCUAGGAACAGUGUGUUCGGGUAGUUGCCAGUGAGGUAGUCAUUUGGUGGGGUAUCUGAGCUUGGGAUAUUAUUGGCAAGGUUUUGACCUAUAGUGGAGAAGAAAUCAUUGAGUCUGUUUGCUGUUUCUGUUGGUGGGAGUUGGGGUUCAUCUGAUUUUGCUAAUUUUAUUUCGCUAUGUCGUGAUAUCUUUUUUGUUCCCAGAAUUUCUGAUAGGGUCUUCCAGGUCUUUUUUAUAUCACCUCGUAAGUUGGAUAAUCUGUUCUCAUAAUACAAUUUGUUUGCCCUUCUUAUCAGGUUGGUUAGGAUUGACGAGUAACGUUUUGUUUGGUCUCUGGUUAUGUGACCCAUUCUGUACUGUUUUUCAUAUCGGUGUUUUGUAUUUAUGGAUUUGAGAAUGCUAGGUGUUAGCCAGGGACUGUUCAGUCUCUUAGCUGUUAUCUGUUUAGUUUUUUUAGGGCAGUGCUUGUUAUAAAGGUAUUGGGUCUUUUUUAGAAAAUUAUUAAAACAUUCGUCAAUAUCUGUAUAGAUUUCUAGCUCAGUGUGCCAGUCAAUGUUUGUUACUGCUGUUGUGAAGUUAUUAAUGGCUGCCUCAUUGUGAAGUCUGAAGGUGACUUUAGUAGUGUCUUGGGGUAUUUUACCAAGAGUUGUUAUGAGGAAAGUAGGGUAGUGGUCUGUGGUAUUAUCUGUAAUUAUGCCUGAUUUUAAAGGGGAUAUGGUGUUGGUCCAGAUGUGGUCAAGUAGGGAAACACUAGUCUCUGUAACUCUUGUAGGUUUUGUUACUGUUGGUAGCAACAUGCAGUUACUCAUUGUGUUUGUGAAUUCAGUAA